CUGCUCGUGGCAACGUCAUUUCACUGCGUCUACCUUUAACAAACCAGCUUAGUAGACACUUUCAGGAUAUUGUAAAUCCUGUAAGGAGGGCUUGGGCUUUCCAGUGGCCUUGCAUUCCCACACCAGAGAGUCGUCAAUGGGCUUCUGCACAUCCUGGGGUUUCUCUAUCAGAUGUGGAGGGGCUGCAUGGUCAAAACAACAUGGCUGUGAAUUAGAACAUUCUCAUACAGAUCCCAUUUCUCGCAGCUCAGCAUUCAACACCAUAGUGCCCAGAAAGCUCAUCACUAAGCUAAGGACCCUGGAACUAAAUACCUCCCUCUGCAACUGGAUCAUGGACUUCCCGAUGGGCCGUCCUCACGUGGUAAGGGGAGACAACAACACAUCUGCCACGCUGAUACUCAAAAUGGGGGCCCCUCAGGGGUAUGUGUUUAGUCCCCUCCUGUACUCCCUGUUCACACACGAUUGAGUGGCCAAGGCGACUCCAACACUAUCCUUAAGUUUGCUGACGACACAACAGUGGUAGGACUGAUCACCUACAACAAUGAGACAGCUUAUA
Long non-coding RNA from Oncorhynchus mykiss (rainbow trout), 556 nucleotides. RefSeq lists it as uncharacterized. NCBI's taxonomy places the organism in Eukaryota, Metazoa, Chordata, Actinopteri, Salmoniformes, Salmonidae. The record is from RefSeq and is a predicted model, not a curated record.